GAUGAACGCUGGCGGCGUGCUUAACACACGCAAGUCGAACGAAGCACUUUAUUUGAUUUCCUUCGGGACUGAUUAUUUUGUGACUGAGUGGCGGACGGGUGAGUAACGCGUGGGUAACCUGCCUUGUACAGGGGGAUAACAGUUGGAAACGGCUGCUAAUACCGCAUAAGCGCACAGCAUCGCAUGAUGCAGUGUGAAAAACUCCGGUGGUAUAAGAUGGACCCGCGUUGGAUUAGCUAGUUGGAGAGGUAACGGCCCACCAAGGCGACGAUCCAUAGCCGACCUGAGAGGGUGACCGGCCACAUUGGGACUGAGACACGGCCCAAACUCCUACGGGAGGCAGCAGUGGGGAAUAUUGCACAAUGGGCGAAAGCCUGAUGCAGCGACGCCGCGUGAGCGAAGAAGUAUUUCGGUAUGUAAAGCUCUAUCAGCAGGGAAGAUAAUGACGGUACCUGACUAAGAAGCACCGGCUAAAUACGUG
Molecule: ribosomal RNA, 481 nt
Filed under: uncultured bacterium
Lineage: Bacteria
Description: partial 16S ribosomal RNA
Rfam family: Bacterial small subunit ribosomal RNA
Source: RNAcentral